UGUUGUUGAGUUAGCCCAAGGCUUCAUUUUGACAAGUUGGCUAUUGUGCAGAAAAGGAAAGAGGAUAUAAUUCUAGCCUAUUCAUUAAAGCCUCAGUCCAGCAAGCAUCAACACACAAAGGGCAAGACUGAAGCUUAUUCAGACUUGGAAAACUCAGGGAGGAAAAAAUCUGCAUCCACCUGCAAUCAAGGUAGUGAAGACCGAAUAAGGAUCCAGUAUACCAACAAGGCCCCGUGAUUUCACAGCCCAGAAGCAGGAGGGAGCUUAGUUACAAGCAUACAGAAACUUCUUCAGUGCUAAGGUGCUACACUGAAACUAAGCGCUUUGGAACAGCUCACAGAUCCAAGUUGUGCCUGACAUUCUUUCUUACCAUUUCCAUUUAGCUUAGCCCCUGUAAGCCGCUGUAUGAAUUUCAAGAAAUGUUUAGAUGUUGUUCUGAGAGACGUGGGUUAGUGGGGAAGUACUGAUGGUAGGUGGGUGGUUGGACUGGAUGAUCUUGGAGGUCUUUUCCAACCUUGGUGAUUCCAUGAUUCUACGAUCCUAUGAUUCUAUGAUUAAUCUUGCUGCUGUACAGAUCCACUCUCAGGUCACCUUCUACUGACUUAGUUGUCAGGACCACAGCCCUGUUUAAUGGCAUGUAGUCCAUUUGCAGCAUAUGUAAGAAAAGAAGAGUUGUGAGGGAGAAAUAUUUGACUAUCAUCAAUUGGGAGUCUCAGACAUCUGUUAUACUUUUUAAAUAUUUGUCAGAACAGAAACUGACUUGCUGACUCAGUGAGCUGCUAAUUAAUCAUAUAAAAUGCCACAGGAAAGACUGGAGGAGGGCAAUGUGUCUCUAGCAUAAUGUGGUGGCUUCACACCGAUGGGCAGCUGAAUUUAAAUGGACAAAACAGACUCAGCUUGAGGGAGAUUAAUGUAAUUUAUUGCCCAUCUGUAACAGGUAUGAGUAGUGAGAACUAAAAGCAAACUUGAAACACAUUGAUCCUAUCCCCCUCUCCUGCCUCCUGCCCCAGAGCAGCAGAGGGGAAUGGAAGAUGAAAGCUGUGGUCAGUCCCUGCCACUCCCUCCUCCUCACUCCCUUCCCAUGCUGCUGCUGUGUCCCUCCCAUGGAUGCCAUCCUUCCCAGACUCAGCAGGGUGGGCUUCCCGCAGGCUGCAGCUCUCCAAGCACUGUUCCACUGUGGGUUCUUCUUGGAGCUGGGUGGAGCUGGCUGUCCUCUAACGUAGGGCAGCUGCUGGACUCUGCUCACAGGGACUCUAUUUUACCCAAUAAUUCAGUGCUGAACUCAGAAUGCCACCUUGUCUAAACUGAGUAUUUAUCUAGUCCCAAACUUCAGUUUGGAGGAACUGUCAUUUUUAGAUGAAGUGUUUCAAACCAGCUAUGAUGCUUAGAUGAUUUACUAGUUCUAAAAUGUUUGCUCUUGCUUGGGUGUGCGAGGCUAUGACUUUGAUUCCAGGUAGUUAUGUUAUUCCUUGGUUGGCAUAAUUAAUUACAAACAUUUGCAAAUCCUAUAGGUAUGUAGCUAAAAAGAUCACCUAAACCAUCCUCCACUUCCAAGGCAGUACUAAAUAUUCUUAGAUCUCUCUGAUGCGUGUUUCUUUUACGUGCGCCUAAAAAUUUCAAUAGAGGGAUUCCCCGUUUCCAUAUGAAACUCAUUCCAGUCUUCCACUGUGAACAUUUUUUCAUACCUACCAUAAAGACGCUCAGUGUCAGCCCUGGUCUCCUCCCUUUGAUGUCCAGUUCUAAAGAUUUUAGGUGAGAGCAGAGCUUGGCAUUAGUAAAUGGGCCUCAGGCUAUUUGCUGUCAGAAGAUCUGUAGAGAUGCGGAGAAGCACUUGGUUGGCUGUUCUGGAGAUCAGAGUUCUUGAUGCAGCUUUGCAAGUUGGCUUUUCUUCACCCUGCUGGUGGAUACACACAAAUUUUAAGUUCUUUACUAAUUUUUACUUCUUUACUGUUUACUUUAAGUUCUUUACAGAGAGAGUGGUGAGGUGCUGGAACAGCUGCCCAGAGAGGCUGUGGAUGCCCCGUCCAUCCCUGGAGGUGUCCAAGGCCAGACUUCAGAACCAAGCACCUCAGUGAACACCUUUGCUAUUUUUUACUUGUUACAUUUCCUCCUCUCCAGCGGUGAUGAUUUUCUACGCUGACCACUCUGCAGUCAGACCUUCUGACAGAGGAAAAGUUGAAGGAAAUCUAAUGAACAUAUGGAGAAACAGGAUCUCUCCAUGCUAUCUGGAACAAGUGGGGCCGGGGUCCUUCAGAUAACAAGAGGGAAUGCAGUCUGUAUGGAUAUCGCAGGGCACCCUGGAGAUCAUGAUCAAGAGAAACCCAAUUGCAAAAACUCAGCUCGGGUCCAGCAGGUCUUAUUAACUCUGGUUCAGUGCCAACACUACGAGACUGCCAGCUGGCCCCUCAGCUAUUUGACUGUCUUUGCAGCACACUUUCCCAGUGCUCCAGGUUCUGAAAGGGCCUUGUAUGUACCGACGGAGCCAGCGCAGGUCUGGCACUGCAUCCUGUCUAAUGUGCCCUUUUAGGAGCUGGAGCACAAAUCAGCGAUAACGGGCCCUUGGAACAUUGCUGUAUGUGGACUGACUUCUUCCAGACUCACUUGGAUGUCUCUGCGCUGCUCUUCCCAGAACUCCCAGUCCCAGAAACGCAGCGAGGGGCCGUCUGACUCGGCAUGGGGAAGCCCAGGUUCGGCUGGUUAUCAGCUCAGGCUCUGUGCUGAAGGAAAGCAGCAUUUCUGGGAUUGAACUGGUGAUUUAUGAUGGAUCUGUCAAAUUCUGCUUUCACAGAAUCUUUCUCCCUUGCAUAUAUCUGGAGAUUUUAAGACUAAGUCCACCUUUAAGGCAACAUCACCUGCUGAAAAAGGAAUUUUAAUGGAAGUUAAUUCUAUUAUUAACAACAUAAAGAUGCUUAGUCCUCUCCAUAAGACUGAAUACUCAGUUCAGAGUGUCACUAUAAACACAUUGGCCACCGCUGCUUCCCAGGCUAAACAUUAUUUUUAAAAUGCAAAAAGCGAAUUUUCAGUGGAAUUACAGUCCUGCCAACGCCCGAUGGAUCCUGCAAGGUUUGACAAGGAGAGAAAUCCAUUCCCUGACCUGGAAUUCCUUGGCCAGGGGUGCAAAGUGGUCCCUGCUCUGUUCUGCAGGAGGAAACUCCCCCUGUUCUGCACCAGCUCUGCGAGAGGACACGCAGAUGUGACACACAGCAGGCUCCUCGCUGCUGCCCUGCCUGCGCUUGGUGAAACCUUGUGAGCAAAGUCUGAACUCCAUGACUGAGCCGUCCAGGGGAAGUCAAAGUCAGACCUGAUAUCUUUUUCCAAACUUAUAUAUCCUGGUGGCUGCUGCUACUGUUAAAUAUGAUAAACUCCUAUUUGUUCACUUUAGCUUGCUGUCAGCAGUCGCUGUUUGCUGGGGCAAGCCCAGAACGUUUCCCUCCCCACCUGUCAAGCUUGGAGUGUGCUUUGGCACCCUGCCAUUGCAGAGCCUCAACGACUUGAGCAGACAGCUUCAGGAACAAGACAUCCCAGUACUUAAGCCGCCUCUGCUUCAUGAGCUUUUCUUCCCAUCUGUACGCUUUCUGAAGAAGAAAAUGUUUGCUGGUCAGAGAGGUUUUCCACAUGCGCCUCCUUCGGCUUUCCAUUACCGCUCGGAGGUUAUAUGGGGUGCAGCGCCGUACACUGUACUGCACUAUAUGCAGAGGUGUUCAGACUUAAUUUAUUCCCUUCUCCUGGAUAAAGAUUAUUGCAGCUGUGUGUUUUGGAAAACUAUCAAUGAAGGGAGUUCAGCUCAUACAACACACUUUCAAUAGGGUACUGUACUCUAUAUUUCCAGGUUCUGUUUUAAUUACACUUGCAUAUUACCUUGGAGGAAGCUGAAAUCUGGAAAAUGUUUUCUCAUAUACCAUGUCUUAAACCUUCCUGACCUUCUGUUUUAUACCAAGUACAUUUAUGCUGGUGAUCAAAACCAUAUAAUAUGGGGAAAGGCUUGGCUAUCCGGGGUAAUCUAUCAGGAGCGUGCUGUCAGUCCCCCCUAGCAAAGACUGAACAAUUUUCACUGAGAAGCACCCCCACCGUCCAGCAGUAAGUCCCUCUUCCCCCCUUCACGCAGCUCCCAGUGAGAGCUACAGGAGCGGGCCAGGUUGGGAGCAGGGCAGCAAGCAGCUUUCCCCUGGGGUGGCUGGGACUCCUGCUGCUCUGAAGCAUCCUGGAGGGACUAAGCAACGGGAUGGCUCACAUAGCAUCCGUUUAUUGCCCAUAUUGCAAUAAGAAUGUCAGUGCCACCCGCCUCCGCUGGGCCGGGCAGUGAGCAGUGACCAUAUUGCCAGCUGCAGCACCAAACACAGCCUGAUGCCCAGCACUGAGGUCUCCUUGUGUCAGCCAGCAUUCCCCAGGGAGAGCAGGGUGCCUGUGAGCCCUGCUGAGUGGAUAACAACACCUGUACCGAUCACAUCUCUGUGCCAGAGCAGCUUUCAUGUCACCUUCAGAUCCAUGCCAACAGGAGCGCGUCUUGAUCUUCACAUCUCUACGUGUCUGGAGAGUGUCCUGAGAAAAAGGGAUUUAGCAAAUGCGUGUUUGCAGGAGGGGAUCCGUCAGUCCUCUGCCCAGGGCUUGGUCAGCAUUUGGGAAGUGCAGACUGCUGCCUAUAAUCCCUUGCUGAGGAGCUCUCUCCCUGGCAGCCCGGGAAGGUGUCGAGAAAUGCUGCCAGGCACUGGUCUGCUCCUGGGGCUGCUGCUGACACAGCUCGUGAGCCGGUGCCUUGCCUCAGCGCCUC
Molecule: long non-coding RNA, 4768 nt
Organism: Lagopus muta (rock ptarmigan)
Lineage: Eukaryota; Metazoa; Chordata; Aves; Galliformes; Phasianidae
Exons: 3
Source: RefSeq, a predicted model, not a curated record